RNAcentral lists this ribosomal RNA (601 nucleotides) under Kocuria palustris. RNAcentral describes it as "bacterial SSU rRNA". It matches the Rfam family "Bacterial small subunit ribosomal RNA", at positions 834 to 1424 of the family's 1533-position model. Lineage: Bacteria; Bacillati; Actinomycetota; Actinomycetes; Micrococcales; Micrococcaceae. The record is from RNAcentral.
CCGUUUUCCGCGCCGUAGCUAACGCAUUAAGUGCCCCGCCUGGGGAGUACGGCCGCAAGGCUAAAACUCAAAGGAAUUGACGGGGGCCCGCACAAGCGGCGGAGCAUGCGGAUUAAUUCGAUGCAACGCGAAGAACCUUACCAAGGCUUGACAUAUACCGGAUCGUUCCAGAGAUGGUUCUUCCCCUUUGGGGUCGGUAUACAGGUGGUGCAUGGUUGUCGUCAGCUCGUGUCGUGAGAUGUUGGGUUAAGUCCCGCAACGAGCGCAACCCUCGUUCCAUGUUGCCAGCACGUGAUGGUGGGGACUCAUGGGAGACUGCCGGGGUCAACUCGGAGGAAGGUGGGGAUGACGUCAAAUCAUCAUGCCCCUUAUGUCUUGGGCUUCACGCAUGCUACAAUGGCCGGUACAAAGGGUUGCGAUACUGUGAGGUGGAGCUAAUCCCAAAAAGCCGGUCUCAGUUCGGAUUGAGGUCUGCAACUCGACCUCAUGAACCUCAUGAAGUCGGAGUCGCUAGUAAUCGCAGAUCAGCAACGCUGCGGUGAAUACGUUCCCGGGCCUUGUACACACCGCCCGUCAAGUCACGAAAGUCGGUAACACCCGA